GUAGGCGUCCACAACUAUGUUCUGCCUCCGCACCCUCCGAUCGCCCGCCGCGUCCGAUUCCCCUGACCCCGCCUCGCCCGCAAUCUCCGCCGCCGCGCCCGCGACAUCCAUCACCCCCACCCGCGACAUCCCGCCUCGCACGCCAUCAACUCGCAGCGGCCCUUCUCCGAACGUGGUUUGUUUUUUCGUUUGCUCGAGCAGCCAGCCGACUCGUCUCCAGCAAUGCGGCCGGGGUCGGCUCGCUGGAGGUGGGCGUCGCCGCCGACACCUCCAACGCCUCCAGGCAGGGAUUAGGUGAGCCGUCGGCUAAUCACUCGUCAUUGGGAGGAUCUCCUCCUCCCGUUCAGAUUUGGGCAAGAAAGGCCCGGGCGCGAUGUCCAUGGCCGAGGAGGGGAGUGAGGCCGAGGAGGGGAGUGAGGCCGAGGCGCUCGAGAAAGACGGCAGCAAGGCUUCUUCACCUUCGGGGCCAGGUAAACACCACGGGCAAGGGCGCAAAGCAUCGCGUGUUGUUGUUUCGAGAUGUGUGGGCAUGGCCGUGCUUUCCCUUCCGUUGGGGUCAAGCUGACCGGCCUCGUGUGCCCCGUACUCCCACCGCCGUCCUGCACGCAAAUCCCAAAAAUCAGAUAAAAAGACUGGUUUUUCUCCCCGUUCUCCUUUUCCCCCCACUAAUCGAUUAGGUUCUUAGUUAGGCGUUCCUGCCGCUCUUCUUCCUCCCGUGUCGUCAGAGGAAGCCGCGAAAAGCACGCAGGAAUCAGGUGAGAAAGCAACCACUCAACUCCAACUUCCAGCUUUACUGCCAUUAGUAUUGUUUCUCUACUACUCUAUAAGCCUGUAGUGUAGGCGUCCACAACUAUGUUCUGCCUUCGCACCCUCCGAUCGCCCGCCGCGUCCGAUUCCCCUGACCCUGCCUCGCCCGCAAUCUCCGCCGCCGCGCCCGCGACAUCCAUCACCCCCGCCCGCGACAUCCCGCCUCGCACGCCAUCAACUCGCAGCGGCCCUUCUCCGAAUGUGGUUUGUUUUUUCGUUUGCUCGAGCAGCCAGUCGACUCGUCUCCAGCAAUGCGGCCGGGGUCGGCUCGCUGGAGGUGGGCGCCGCCACCGACACCUCCAACGCCUCCAGGCAGGGAUUAGGUGAGCCGUCGGCUAAUCACUCGUCAUUGGGAGGAUCUCCUCCUCCCGUUCAGAUUUGGGCAAGAAAGGCCCGGGCGCGAUGUCCAUGGCCGAGGAGGGGAGUGAGGCCGAGGAGGGGAGUGAGGCCGAGGCGCUCGAGAAAGACGGCAGCAAGGCUUCUUCACCUUCGGGGCCAGGUAAAAGCACGCAGGAAUCAGGUGAGAAAGCAACCACUCAACUCCAACUUCCAGCUUUACUGCCAUUAGUAUUGUUUCUCUACUACUCUAUAAGCCUGUAGUGUAGGCGUCCACAACUAUGUUCUGCCUCCGCACCCUUCGAUCGCCCGCCGCGUCCGAUUCCCCUGACCCCGCCUCGCCCGCAAUCUCCGCCGCCGCGCCCGCGACAUCCAUCACCCCCGCCCGCGACAUCCCGCCUCGCACGCCAUCAAUUCGCAGCGGCCCUUCUCCGAACGUGGUUUGUUUUUUCGUUUGCUCGAGCAGCCAGCCGACUCGUCUCCAGCAAUGCGGCCGGGGUCGGCUCGCUGGAGGUGGGCGCCGCCGCCGACACCUCCAACGCCUCCAGGCAGGGAUUAGGUGAGCCGUCGGCUAAUCACUCGUCAUUGGGAGGAUCUCCUCCUCCCGUUCAGAUUUGGGCAAGAAAGGCCCGGGCGCGAUGUCCAUGGCCGAGGAGGGGAGUGAGGCCGAGGAGGGGAGUGAGGCUGAGGCGCUCGAGAAAGACGGCAGCAAGGCUUCUUCACCUUCGGGGCCAAGUAAACACCACGGGCAAGGGCGCAAAGCAUCGCGUGUUGUUGUUUCGAGAUGCGUGGGCAUGGCCGUGCUUUCCCUUCCGUUGGGGUCAAGCUGACCGGCCUCGUGUGCCCCGUACUCCCACCGCCGUCCUGCACGCAAAUCCCAAAAAUCAGAUAAAAAGACUGGUUUUUCUCCCCGUUCUCCUUUUCCCCCCACUAAUCGAUUUAGGUUCUUAGUUAGGCGUUCCUGCCGCUCUUCUUCCUCCCGUGUCGUCAGAGGAAGCCGCGAAAAGCAUGCAGGAAUCAGGCGGUCUUGAGGACGAGGAGCUACAGGUGCAGGAUGCAGUUGCCAGUGGUUCCAAGAGGAGCAAAGACUCCGCCGCCGCCGCCACACGCAGCGCCAAUGUCAGCUCGCCCUCUGUGGUUCACUCUCACCCUGCCAUCCUCCCUGCUCCCGCGCAGCAGAUUCCAGAGGUUAAGCAAGCAGAUACCACACAUAUGCAUUCUAUGCCUGCCGCGCGCUUUACGUAGCUAACAAGUUGAAUUCAUCAUCAACAUAUCCAUUGCUCGAGCUUUUCUUCAAGAACCAGCUACCAUAGGGCAAAGUGAAGAAACGGAAGAGUUGAGCAAGAUCACAUUAGAGAAUAAGGAUAUUCAGCUUGAUAUCAAUAUAAGAGAAGAAUCUCGGAGUUCUUCACAACAAGGGAACUUUGACACAGAAGGUACCAGCUCCAGUGAGGCUUUCUUGCUUGGAACGGUAAGGAAUGAACAUAUUUAUUUCAUUCUUCUCAGCCACUAACCAAAUCAGCUCCAGUGAGGUUAGUUUACAGCAAUGUUCUUGUAUGGUUCUCAGGUUGAGUUUUCCAUUUUAUUUAUGUAGCCAAAGUAGAUGUAUUAUGCAUGUCGUCGUUUGGAAACUUGACAAACCGAUUAUACUUGUUUAGGUUGCUUCAGAAAAGAUGCUUGAGAAACUGAAACAUAAAUCUGGAAGAUGUGAGCCUGCUUUAGAAAAGGCUAUUGUGGAACUGGAGCAUGGUAUAAACGGUUUGAAGUACUUUGUUUGCCUUGAUCCACGGUUGCAGGUUUGUUCCGCCACUGAUACCAGGUGAAGCUUCACCCUUCAGAUCCCUGUCGUGACGAAUGGUUCGUGGGUGCUGGGGAGGGAUUGGAUCCGUUGGAUUCAUGAGAUGUGUGGAUUGUUCCUGCCGGAUAUCGUGACAUGUUUUUAGAUCUAGCAGACAAAACCAUGAACUGUCUAGGGCUCCUCCGUUGCCUAGAUCUACUAGAGUGAGUGAGCCUACAGAGUUGACCUCAUCCAGGCUCCAGUUCCACCCCACGGUCAUCGUCCUCUGUUGCUCUACGUUUCAUGCUUCUCACCUCCUCUCCUCAAUCUCAUCACUAGAGGCGGAAAGCAGAUCAGAUGAGAUUUUUGGUCUUGCGUGGUUCUUUUAAUCUGCUCACAUGAUACUUCUUAUUCAUUGCCGUCCAGUGAAAUUAAUUGCCCUCGGUUGAAUUGGUUCCUUUGCCAUUUUACUUAGGAGGAUAAAGGAGACACUACCUUGGUACAUGCCUGUUGCCACAAUGGACAAAAGAAGAUUAGUGUUGUGUGAGAUUUUUUCAUUCCUUUGAUCUAUUGCAUGCUAUUUGUACCCUAAUCGACAAAAUAGAUGAGACUCAAUUCAGGAGCAAAUCACUAGUCCUGUUCACAAUCCAAUUCACUAUGGUUAAAAUAUCAAACUUAUGCUCCUUGAGGUUUGUUUUUUCCUGAUCUUCCUUUAAUAUCUGAUGACUGAUGGACUGGUGAGUUCAUGAUCUGCUUCAUGCUUUUCCUUUUAUAUAUGGUCACUACCUCACUGGUUAGUUCAUGGUCUCUGUGUGUGUGCGUGCGUGUGUGUGUGCGCACGCUUCUGCAUUCAAACUCUUCAACCUUGUGUUUCAACUAAACUCUUGAACAUUCUUACCUUGGCUGGUCAUUUUAUAUGCAGAUAAUUUUAUGUCUGGGCUGAAGGUCGUGUUUGAUCGAGAGAGGAAGGUCUUGGGCUGGAAAAACUUUGAUUGUUACAGCGUGGGCAACUCAAGAAGCAACCUUCCAGUGAACCCAAAUCCUUCUGGUGUUCCCCCUGCCCCUGGCUUGGGACCGAACAGCUACACUCACUCCUGAAGCUACCAAGGGUGCCUCACCGAAUGGCACCCAAGUCAAUGUCUUGCAACCUUCUGCAAGUUUUUCGCCGAAGCUGCAUUGCAACAGAAACGUCCUCGUCAUCGCUGCUCUGCUGUUCCUCGUAAUCCUUUGAUCACCUCAACUCCCCAUGACAAUCUUUUCAAAAACCAAAUCAACAGAUAUGAUUGAUUUUAGUUAAAACUUGGUUUACCAUGUAUUGAGUUACGUAUAGUGCGAUAGUAUCACAUUCUUUUGGCUUGUGUCUACAGUUCCAGUAGGAGUUAGGAUAGAACACAGGAUGAGUCCAUAGCCCUUUUUUUGCACGUUCAUAAUGUACUCAUAAUGUACCUGGUGGGUGUACUGUGUACAUAUUAGAUAUGACUUCAGGAUGUAUUGAUUUUAUAAGAUAAUUGAAUAAUGAUGCUCGCAUACACAGAUAUAUAUACUUCACAUAUGCUCACGUGUACCACCAUCGUCAUCUGUCAUGUUUUUAAUACAGUCAAGAGGCAUGGACCUUCGGCGAAAAUUUCCAGAUACCCGUACUCUUUUCAUAUGGCAUAACACACUAGCAUUAAGUCUUAUGAGAGACCUUGCUAAAGAAUUAGUGCUUGGAGGGGAAGAAUGACCUAGAACUGAAGAUGGAUGAGCUGAUGUGAAAAAUGAGGGGAAGAAUGACCUAGAACUGAAGAUGGAGGAGCUCAGGUGAAAAAUGAACUUGUUCAUUGUGUGUUUUCUGACCUUUUUUGGAAUUGUAUUAAAAUAUACUGUAAUGAAUUGGUGUAAGAAUGUGUUGGAAGUAGCAAAGAACCUGAUGCCUUUUGCAAUGAGAAUGUCUUUCUGGCAAUUUAUCCUGA
Molecule: RNA transcript, 4872 nt
Organism: Zea mays
Lineage: Eukaryota; Viridiplantae; Streptophyta; Magnoliopsida; Poales; Poaceae
Exons: 7
Source: RefSeq, a predicted model, not a curated record